Molecule: transfer RNA, 69 nt
Filed under: Rattus norvegicus (Norway rat)
Lineage: Eukaryota; Metazoa; Chordata; Mammalia; Rodentia; Muridae
Rfam family: tRNA
About the family: Transfer RNA (tRNA) molecules are approximately 80 nucleotides in length. Their secondary structure includes four short double-helical elements and three loops (D, anti-codon, and T loops). Further hydrogen bonds mediate the characteristic L-shaped molecular structure. tRNAs have two regions of fundamental functional importance: the anti-codon, which is responsible for specific mRNA codon recognition, and the 3' end, to which the tRNAs corresponding amino acid is attached (by aminoacyl-tRNA synthetases). tRNAs cope with the degeneracy of the genetic code in two manners: having more than one tRNA (with a specific anti-codon) for a particular amino acid; and 'wobble' base-pairing, i.e. permitting non-standard base-pairing at the 3rd anti-codon position.
Source: Rfam by way of RNAcentral
GGGGAUUUAGCUCAGUGGUAGAGCGCUUGCCUAGGAAGCGCAAGGCCUUGGGUUCGAUCCCCAGCUCCG